AAUAUGUCUGCUUUUAUAGAGACAUCAGGGAGAUCCUAUACGGCUGUACCUGUGUUUUUUCAAUGAUCUGAAAUUCUGAAAGAGUCUUCAUUCUGUAACUGUGUAUGACAAUUUGUUCACAGAAAGCUUGUCCUCACUACCCUGGAUUUAUCUUCAUAGGCCGGUAAUUGGUGCUGCAUUCAGAUGGUUCAUUUCUCCAAAAUGAAAAGGGUAAGCUAUAAUAUUACUAACCAAUUAAAAUUGCACUAAAAUGGAACAUAUAUAUGGCAGCUUGUUAAGUGAAUCACCAUAAGAAAUUGUUAUAGCAUGCAGCUCUUUCUCCACGCUGCUCUUUUUAUAACGGAUAGGUUUACGUGAUCCAGAAUUAUGCAAAUCGUAAACCAUUCGUAGUUGCAUGUAAUUCAUUCAGUUUAGGAUAGCUGAGUUCUGAUGAAUUCCACGUGCAGACCUAAAAAGUUAGGUUGCACGUAAUGGGGAGUGUUGGAGAGGAAAUAUCCCACAUCAGAAAAGAGACAAAUAAAACAUAACUUAUAAGUGAAUGGAUCGUAUUCAAUGUACCGAGGCUUUUUGUAAUUAAAACCCAACACCUUUAAGGUGGUUUAGUUAGGACAAUAUCGGUACAAUAAUGAUCCACAUGCCACGCUUGUCUAUGUUCAAGUGUUUGAGACUAGGUAGGAUAGCAAGUCGUUGUUGUAUCGCUAUAUUAUAAUUUUGUAAGAAGUGAGUUUUACAUAGUGGAAAAGUUUGUCCCUCAAGAGUUAGGGGCAUGUAGUUUUGUAAGAAGUGAGUUUUAUAUAGUGGAAUGGUUUGUCCCUCAAAAGUUAGGGGCAAGUAGUUUUUCUCCCUGGAUCUCCCUGGAUGCAGGGUUUCUGCAGUAAAAAAAUCUUAUUGGUGUUUCUUGUUUUUACCUAUCCCUGAGAACGAAUUUAUACGAAAAAAAGUUCCCCCCUCUUUCUCUCGGACCUUCAAGCAGGCAGCCAGACAAUCAAUGUCUCUGGAGUCUGGACUUAAGGUGGACUUGUUCAAUUUGGUUGUAAUUUGGAGACAAAUGUGACACCUUCUCUAUCAGAAACUAUUGGAAACUAUUAUAUCUUAUAUCACCAUGCCUUUGUUUUUUGCAAACAUUGAUGGACUUAUUAAACAAAGAUUUACGAUUCAGUCUUGCAGAUCUAGACAAGGUUGUGCACUGGCGGCCUCUUCAGGUAUUACUUAUGAUCCAAGUCAUCUCGUUCUUGAAUUGUUUCGUCACUGAACAUAUAUGCUUACAGUUUUAUGGUUUUUACGUUCAUGGUUACGAUUAAGGGUGCUUCACAUUUACAUUUCAAGCUUCAGUUUACCCAUGCCAUUUCCCUUUCAGAUUCAUUUUUGAAGACAAGGUUGUAGAUCAGUAGCUCAGACAUUAGAACAUGCUUUCAAGUUACAAGAUUACCUGAUUAACUCUGUAACCAAUUUUAACUCCGGUGUUCUGCAUUGGAACCAAGAAUAAGCUUGGACAGGGCAGCCAUUAAACUCCACCCCGAAACAAAGAGUACAGUGCAUGGCACCAUUCCAACUCAACUACAAAUGUCUGAUCAAUUCAAUUGCAUCGAUCAUGGAUGUCCCUGCAUAACUAAUUAUAUAUCAAACGUCUUUGGGACUGUAGUUCAAGGAAACCAACAUAACAUUUUCUGAUGUUCAUUCUAUUAGCUAUGUUCUAUCAACAAGGUUUAGCUAAUUUGGCUAGGAACACAUAUGGUUAGGCCAAUUUGGGAAAGCUGCCAUGUGACUGGUAAUGAGAAAGAAUACCACCAAUAGUAUGUGAGAUUCAUCUCAGAAUGUGGAUCUGUCAGCGUCACAACAGAAAUUUCCGCUUCACAAAUUACUGAUAUAAGACAGCCAUUUAGUGCAAAAUUAUAAAUAAAUAUACAACCAUAUUAUUAGGCUGUUAGAGUAUUUACUAAAGGGUUCUCAUGCAUAAUUUUACAAAAUGGAUGAAUCGGGUUCCUAUAGUUUGCGCAUUUAGGCCGCCCUAACAAAGACAUGAAUCUGUUUAUGACUCAAAAAAUAGAGGAGAUAAGCUAUGGUGCUGGGAUGUAUAUCCUACUUUUAUUUUACAUGUACUUAAACAAAAAUUACAAUGUUAAUUAUGAAUAAAAUUACAACAUUGAGAACAAAUUUACCAAAUUUAUUUACACUAUUUACAUAAAGUUAAACAAAAUUACAACUAUGAGAACAAUUUGGUCAAAAAGUUGUAAAAUGGUUGUACAUUUUGUAAUUACAAUUAUUAGAACAAGAUUACAAACAAUACGACUCAACAUUACCACUUUGACUACAAAUAUGUUGUCACAUUUGUAAAUGUAGGUAUCACAUACGGGUAGGUACCAUAGAAUUUCCCAAAAGAGGAAGGGGAAAAAGUGUGUAUCCUACAGAGGUCUCUUCUCUGAAGAAAUAAAAAAGGUGCAAAUUAACAAAAGUCUAUAUGAUUUCUUGAACCAUGAAAUGAAAGAAAUUAUCUGAUCAACUCUGGUAACAGUAUUGCUAAAUGAGCUCAAACAAAUCUUCUACUUGAGGUAACAGAAUCAAACAAAUAAACGCCAAUGUGGCUACAAUGACAAAUCAACUGCAACAAUUCUCAAAACAAAUCACACAAACUUAAACGAAUAUUCAACCCCUUUGGACUAAAUCAUAGAUAGCUCCAUCUUGGAGUCUAGAACUUGGACUGGAAAUCAUAGAUAGUAUCCUUGUCAACUUGGAAUGCCUUUGCAAGAACAUCAGCAGAAAUGGCAGGAUUUGAUCCAAACACUGCAUUAGCAAUGCUAAUAACACCUGGAUUUUGGCUGCUGAGAGCAGCAAUGGCGACUGCAUUAACCUUUCCAACGUUGUGCUGGAAAUGCACGAGUCCUACUGGGAACACAAACACAUCACCCUUUUGAAGCACCUUUGUGAUAAGUUUGUUUUCGGGGUUGGAGGUGACAAAACCCACUUGGAGGCUCCCUUCAAGGACUGUCAAGAUUUCAGUCGCCCUAGGAUGAGUGUGUGGAGCAUUGAUGCCCCACGGUGCAUAGUCAAUACGAACAAGGGAGAUACCAAAAGUAUUGAGUCCUGGAAUUUGGGCUACAUUAGCAGGAGUCACCUUUGAACCAGCAGGGUUUGAUGUGUUGCCUGCUAGGUGAAGUCCACUGAAGAAGAAAUCCUCAGCGACAACAAGCUUGGGGUCCUUGCACACAUGUCCAUUCACUGGAACUGAAAUUAAAAUUCAUCACAUAAAUGUAUCAGAAACAUAAACAUUAGGUGAUGUCUUUUUAAUUGAUAAAUAUAGUCACAUUGACAUAUGUGAGUAUGAUUCUAGCUUGCUAGCUACCUGAGCCUGUUGGGUCAGCAACACAGAAAUCCUGAAGAGAACUUGGGUCAGAUGCCAAAGCUAUGGAAACAGUUACGGCAAGGCACACUAAAAACAGAAACCGAGAGGCCAUUGUUGGGAAUCAAGCUAGUAAUUGCUGAAGCUUUCUAGUCAAGGUUACGCUUGCUCAGAUUGUGGAUUGAGAUCCAGCAAAUAUGUCUGCUUUUAUAGAGACAUCAGGGAGAUCCUUUACGGCUGUACCUGUGUUUUUUCUAUGAUCUGAAAGAGUAUUCAUUCUGUAACUGUGUAUGACAAUUUGUUCACAGAAAGUUUGUCCUUGCUACCCUGGAUUUAUCUUCAUAGGCCGGUAAUUGGUGCUGCAUUCAGAUGGUUCAUUUCUCCAAAAUGAAAAGGGUAAGCUAUAAUAUUACUAACCAAUUAAAAUUGCACUAAAAUGGAACAUAUGGCAGCUUGUUAAGUGAA
This 3802-nucleotide long non-coding RNA is filed under the name Fragaria vesca (wild strawberry). Its description in RNAcentral is "long non-coding RNA (FVES_LNC001172)". Lineage: Eukaryota; Viridiplantae; Streptophyta; Magnoliopsida; Rosales; Rosaceae. The record is from RNAcentral.